Molecule: ribosomal RNA, 255 nt
Filed under: uncultured bacterium
Lineage: Bacteria
Description: partial 16S ribosomal RNA
Rfam family: Bacterial small subunit ribosomal RNA
Source: RNAcentral
UACGAAGGGGGCUAGCGUUGCUCGGAAUCACUGGGCGUAAAGCGCACGUAGGCGGACUCUUAAGUCGGUGGUGAAAUCCUGGAGCUCAACUCCAGAACUGCCUUUGAUACUGAAGAUCUUGAGUCCGGGAGAGGUGAGUGGAACUGCGAGUGUAGAGGUGAAAAUUCGUAGAUAUUCGCAAGAACACCAGUGGCGAAGGCGGCUCACUGGCCCGUUACUGACGCUGAGGCACGAAAGCGUGGGGAGCAAACAGGG